RNAcentral lists this ribosomal RNA (468 nucleotides) under uncultured bacterium. Its description in RNAcentral is "partial 16S ribosomal RNA". It matches the Rfam family "Bacterial small subunit ribosomal RNA", at positions 28 to 507 of the family's 1533-position model. The record is from RNAcentral.
GACGAGCGCUGGCGGCGGGCUUAACACAUGCAAGUCGAACGGCCAGGCCCUGCUGUGGUGGGGUGCUCGGUUGGCGAACGGGUGAGAAACACGUGAGUAACCUGCCCUUGACUUUGGGAUAACUUCAGGAAACUGGGGCUAAUACCGGAUAGGAGCUCCUGCUGCAUGGUGGGGGUUGGAAAGUUGCGGCUGGUGGGGAUGGACUCGCGGCUUAUCAGCUUGUUGGUGGGGUAGUGGCUUACCAAGGCUUUGACGGGUAGCCGGCCUGAGAGGGUAACCGGCCCCGUUGCGUCUGAGCUACGGCCCAGCCUACUACGGUAGGCAGCGGUGGGGUAUAUUGCACUGUGGGCGGAAGCCUGAUGUAGCACCGCCGCGUGGGGGAUGUCGGCCUUCGGGUUGUAAACCGCUGCCGCCUGAGCCGAAGCGUUAGUGACGGUAAUCGGUGAAGAAGCACCGGCUAACUACGUG